ACCAGCAUGACCUAGUGGUUUGAGUGUUGGGUUAUGACUCUGGAGACCAGGGUUCGAGUCCUUGUUUGGCUG
Non-coding RNA from Phrynosoma platyrhinos (Desert horned lizard), 72 nucleotides. The record is from the annotation of a GenBank genome assembly. Lineage: Eukaryota; Metazoa; Chordata; Lepidosauria; Squamata; Phrynosomatidae.